Molecule: ribosomal RNA, 750 nt
Filed under: uncultured bacterium
Lineage: Bacteria
Description: bacterial SSU rRNA
Rfam family: Bacterial small subunit ribosomal RNA
Source: RNAcentral
CAUGCAGUCGAACGGUAAGGUCUCUUCGGAGAUACACGAGUGGCGCACGGGUGAGUAACGCGUAUGCAACCUACCUUGAACUGGGGAAUAGCCCCGAGAAAUCGGGAUUAAUACUCCAUAACAUUCAUUCUUCUCCUGGAGGAUGAAUUAAAGCUCCGGCGGUUUAAGAUGGGCAUGCGUGACAUUAGCUAGUUGGUGAGGUAACGGCUCACCAAGGCAACGAUGUCUAGGGGUCCUGAGAGGGUUAUCCCCCACACUGGUACUGAGACACGGACCAGACUCCUACGGGAGGCAGCAGUAAGGAAUAUUGGGCAAUGGACGCAAGUCUGACCCAGCCAUGCCGCGUGCAGGAUGACUGCCCUACGGGUUGUAAACUGCUUUUGUACGGGAAGAAUCCCCCCGACGUGUCGGGGAUUGACGGUACCGUGCGAAUAAGCAUCGGCUAACUCCGUGCCAGCAGCCGCGGUAAUACGGAGGAUGCAAGCGUUAUCCGGAUUCAUUGGGUUUGAAGGGUGCGCAGGCGGAAUGGUAAGUCAGUGGUGAAAUCCCCCGGCUCAACCGGGGAACUGCCAUUGAUACUGCUAUUCUUGAGUACACUUGAGGUAGGCGGAAUGUAUCAUGUAGCGGUGAAAUGCUUAGAUAUGAUACAGAACACCAAUAGCGAAGGCAGCUUACCAAAGUGAAACUGACGCUCAUGCACGAAAGCGUGGGGAGCAAACAGGAUUAGAUACCCUGGUAGUCCACGCUGUA